Long non-coding RNA from Folsomia candida, 878 nucleotides. RefSeq lists it as uncharacterized. The record is from RefSeq and is a predicted model, not a curated record. NCBI's taxonomy places the organism in Eukaryota, Metazoa, Arthropoda, Collembola, Entomobryomorpha, Isotomidae. The transcript has 2 exons.
UCAGUCAAGCAUCCUCAUCCACAAAACUUCGAUACAGUCAUACAUCCCUACCGAUUCGGUUAUAAAUUUGUUUCCACCGAGAAUACAUAGUUCACAAAUCGAGAAAUUCAUAAGUAUGUAUGUAAUCUGUCCUAAAUUUAUAACCCAACAGUUGAUACAUAUUUAUGCAUAUCUUUAUGCACCUCCUGGUUUUAAUCGAAACAGAAUUAUUUUCAGUGUCAUGUUACUAAACGAUAACUACCAUCGUUCCGGUGGAGUCGCACAUACAGGGUGGUUUAAAUUUGUCUAAAAGUGUCUACAAACUUGACGAGAUCAUGUGGCCCAUUCUGCCACUCGUUUUAUCCACGCUGUUAUGCAUUGUCACCAUAAUUCCGGUUACCCUAAUCAUACUUUUCUUCCAAGUGGUGCGCCUCCUCGUCGAGCUGGACGCCGAAUUCCGCUUACCGACUUUAUUCAGGAGUUUUUCUUUCUGAAGAGAAAACCAAGCAGUGAUAAAUAUAUCACUAACAAUUAAAUAUUUGUGUAAGUUACACCGGGAUUUUUUGAGAAUUACAUACAUCAAAACAUAAAAUUGUAAAUGUUUCUCUUUUACUUUAUGAAAUUUUGGCGAGUGCUAUAAUUUAAUAUUUAUGUUUAACGAAGUCUUACACUAUUAGAAAAAUCAAAUUUGAAAAAAACCCAUUCAAGUCGACAGAACGUAAAAUUCGCCAGUAAUGAAAAAAAAAUAUUUUUUUUAGAAUCUAGAACAAAAUUAUGACAAAUAAAAAUAAAAACAAAUAAAAAAUAUUUAGAUCUAUGAAUAAACGAUGACAACCGAUAAUAUGUAUAAAUCCGCCAUUUAUGACAAAAAUAUUCUAGAAAAAUUAUCAUAAAAUAAA